Molecule: ribosomal RNA, 253 nt
Filed under: uncultured bacterium
Lineage: Bacteria
Description: partial 16S ribosomal RNA
Rfam family: Bacterial small subunit ribosomal RNA
Source: RNAcentral
GACAGAGGAUGCAAACGUUAUCCGGAAUGAUUGGGCAUAAAGCGUCUGUAGGUGGCUUUUCAAGUCCGCCGUCAAAUCCCAGGGCUCAACCCUGGAUAGGCGGUGGAAACUACCAAGCUGGAGUACGGUAGGUGUAGAGGGAAUUUCCAGUGGAGCGGUGAAAUGCAUUGAGAUCGGAAAGAACACCAACAGCGAAAGCACUCUGCUGGGCCGACACUGACACUGAGAGAUGAAAGCUAGGGGAGCAAAUAGG